This 484-nucleotide ribosomal RNA is filed under the name uncultured bacterium. RNAcentral's name for it is "partial 16S ribosomal RNA". It matches the Rfam family "Bacterial small subunit ribosomal RNA", at positions 30 to 507 of the family's 1533-position model. The record is from RNAcentral.
AUUGAACGCUGGCGGCAGGCCUAACACAUGCAAGUCGAGCGGAUGAAGGGAGCUUGCUCCUGGAUUCAGCGGCGGACGGGUGAGUAAUGCCUGGGAAUCUGCCCGGUAGUGGGGGAUAACGUCCGGAAACGGGCGCUAAUACCGCAUACGUCCUGAGGGAGAAAGUGGGGGAUCUUCGGACCUCACGCUAUCAGAUGAGCCUAGGUCGGAUUAGCUAGUUGGUGGGGUAAAGGCCUACCAAGGCGACGAUCCGUAACUGGUCUGAGAGGAUGAUCAGUCACACUGGAACUGAGACACGGUCCAGACUCCUACGGGAGGCAGCAGUGGGGAAUAUUGGACAAUGGGCGAAAGCCUGAUCCAGCCAUGCCGCGUGUGUGAAGAAGGUCUUCGGAUUGUAAAGCACUUUAAGUUGGGAGGAAGGGCAGUAAGUUAAUACCUUGCUGUUUUGACGUUACCAACAGAAUAAGCACCGGCUAACUUCGUG